RNAcentral lists this ribosomal RNA (506 nucleotides) under uncultured bacterium. RNAcentral describes it as "partial 16S ribosomal RNA". It matches the Rfam family "Bacterial small subunit ribosomal RNA", at positions 29 to 523 of the family's 1533-position model. The record is from RNAcentral.
AGUGAACGCUGGCGGUAGGCCUAACACAUGCAAGUCGAACGGCAGCACAGAGGAGCUUGCUCCUUGGGUGGCGAGUGGCGGACGGGUGAGGAAUACAUCGGAAUCUACUCUGUCGUGGGGGAUAACGUAGGGAAACUUACGCUAAUACCGCAUACGAACUACGGGUGAAAGCAGGGGACCUUCGGGCCUUGCGCGAUUGAAUGAGCCGAUGUCGGAUUAGCUAGUUGGCGGGGGAAAGGCCCACCAAGGCGACGAUCCGUAGCGGGGCAGAGAGGAUGAUCAGCCACACUGGAACUGAGACACGGUCCAGACUCCUACGGGAGGCAGCAGUGGGGAAUAUUGGACAAUGGGCGCAAGCCUGAUCCAGCCAUACCGCGUGGGUGAAGAAGGCCUUCGGGUUGUAAAGCCCUUUUGUUGGGAAAGAAAUCCAGCUGGCUAAUACCCGGUUGGGAUGACGGUACCCAAAGAAUAAGCACCGGCUAACUUCGUGCCAGCCGCCGCCGUAA